This is a long non-coding RNA of Apis mellifera (honey bee), 684 nucleotides long. RefSeq lists it as uncharacterized. The transcript is spliced from 2 exons. Lineage: Eukaryota; Metazoa; Arthropoda; Insecta; Hymenoptera; Apidae. The record is from RefSeq and is a predicted model, not a curated record.
UUACAAUUCAAAGUACCUACAUGAAACAUAAAUAUACAAAAUCUUUGUUCUUAAACAUGAAAAUAUAAGAUACGUUAAUAUUCCAACGUAUUCCAAUCAUCAUUAAAAAAAAAAAAAUAUCAAUCAUCUCAAAGCAAAUAAUGAACAGUGAUGAAAAAAGAAAAAGACUGCAAUGUCGUCUAUGAAUAUGGUUUAUCACAAGCGAUAUAUCCGAAACACGCGGGUCAGACUAGCUGGCGGUGUUUCACAGAGACAUCACAGGUUUAUAGAUCAGUCGGAGCCAAGUGGUGUCGGUGAUUCUCAAUCGGGGCGGUACUAACGCGGUCACAUCUCCGUGCCAAAAAGUUGGCGCGUACGCGCGUGGUGUUCGGUUGCAAAAAUAGAAGGGGUAAAAGCAUGGACAAGGGCGAAAGCUAGAGAGAAAGAGAAGAAGGAGACAAGGAGGAACAAGGGUAGAGAAAUAUAUAGAAGCCAAGAGGAAGAGAGAGAGAGAGAGAAAGAGAGAGAGGCGAGGAAAAAUGGGUCGGCGCCGGACUUUAAUCAAUGAUUUCGGCGCCAACUGGACGACGGAACGCGUUUCUGCAAAAAAAAAAAAUGCGCAGAUGGCCAACGAACAUGAUAUGUGUAUCAAGUGUUAUAUUCAGUGAUUCGCUGCAAACGCGAUAGCAAAAAAAAAAAAAAAAA